RNAcentral lists this ribosomal RNA (485 nucleotides) under uncultured bacterium. RNAcentral's name for it is "bacterial SSU rRNA". It matches the Rfam family "Bacterial small subunit ribosomal RNA", at positions 31 to 518 of the family's 1533-position model. The record is from RNAcentral.
GAACGCUGGCGGCGUGCCUAACACACGCAAGUCGAGCGAGAAACUCAUGACCAAUACUCGGUUGCGUGAUGAGCGGAAAGCGGCGGACGGGUGAGUAACGCGUAGGCAACCUGCCCCUUGCAGAGGGAUAGCCUCGGGAAACCGGGAUUAAAACCUCAUAACGCAUCAUGGAGACAUCUUCGAGAUGCCAAAGAUUUAUCGGCAAGGGAUGGGCCUGCGUCUGAUUAGUUAGUUGGUGGGGUAACGGCCUACCAAGGCAGCGAUCAGUAGCCGACCUGAGAGGGUGAUCGGCCACAUUGGAACUGAGACACGGUCCAAACUCCUACGGGAGGCAGCAGUGGGGAAUAUUGCACAAUGGGCGAAAGCCUGAAUGCAGCAACGCCGCGUGAAGGAUGAAGGCCCUUGGGUCGUAAACUUCUGUUCUAAGGGAAGAUAAUGACGGUACCUUAGGAGCAAGUCCCGGCUAACUACGUGCCAGCCGCUGC